UACGGAGGGUGCAAGCGUUAUCCGGAUUCACUGGGUUUAAAGGGUGCGUAGGUGGGUUGGUAAGUUAGUGGUGAAAUCUCUGGGCUUAACCCGGAAACUGCCAUUGAUACUAUCAAUCUUGAAUAUCGCGUAGGUAAGCGGAAUAUGUCAUGUAGCGGUGAAAUGCUUAGAUAUGACAUAGAACACCAAUUGCGAAGGCAGCUUACUUCACGAUCAUUGACGCUGUGGCACGAAAGCGUGGGGAGCAAACAGG
RNAcentral lists this ribosomal RNA (253 nucleotides) under uncultured bacterium. RNAcentral's name for it is "partial 16S ribosomal RNA". It matches the Rfam family "Bacterial small subunit ribosomal RNA", at positions 524 to 776 of the family's 1533-position model. The record is from RNAcentral.